RNAcentral lists this ribosomal RNA (500 nucleotides) under uncultured Glomeromycotina. RNAcentral describes it as "partial small subunit ribosomal RNA". It matches the Rfam family "Eukaryotic small subunit ribosomal RNA", at positions 591 to 1092 of the family's 1831-position model. The record is from RNAcentral. Lineage: Eukaryota; Fungi; Glomeromycota.
CCAAUAGCGUAUAUUAAAGUUGUUGCAGUUAAAAAGCUCGUAGUUGAAUUUCGGGGUUAGUAGGUUGGUCAUGCCUCUGGUAUGUACUGGUCUCACUGAUUCCUCCUUCCUGAUGAGCCGUAAUGCCAUUAAUUUGGUGUUGCGGGGAAUUUGGACUGUUACUUUGAAAAAAUUAGAGUGUUUAAAGCAAGCUCACGCUUGAAUACAUUAGCAUGGAAUAAUGAAAUAGGACGUUCGAUCCUAUUUUGUUGGUUUCUAGGAUUGACGUAAUGAUUAAUAGGGAUAGUUGGGGGCAUUAGUAUUCAAUUGUCAGAGGUGAAAUUCUUGGAUUUAUUGAAGACUAACUACUGCGAAAGCAUUUGCCAAGGAUGUUUUCAUUAAUCAAGAACGAAAGUUAGGGGAUCGAAGACGAUCAGAUACCGUCGUAGUCUUAACCAUAAACUAUGCCGACUAGGGAUCGGAUGAUGUUAAUUUUUUAAUGACUCAUUCGGCGCCUUACG